Molecule: long non-coding RNA, 3417 nt
Organism: Marmota monax (woodchuck)
Lineage: Eukaryota; Metazoa; Chordata; Mammalia; Rodentia; Sciuridae
Exons: 2
Source: RefSeq, a predicted model, not a curated record
CCACCUGCCCCCUCCACCUGCCCGCCACCUGCCCCGGGCAGGAUCCUGCGUUCUGCUGACAUGCCCUCUGCCUGCACCCUGGUCCACAGCUCUCAGGAGAGGAGCCAAGUCCAACAGCCUCUCUGUGCCCAGCUGGGGCUGGUGGGCAUCAGGCCCCCAUGUGCUGAUCAUGGCUGGUGGAUGUCGAGGCCACCUUCCCACCCUACUCCCCUCUGGGCUUCACCCAGGCUGGCUGCAGGGCUCACGACCCCCCUCUCUGGUCCUUUUAUCCUCGGGGGUAGGGGGCGGGGAAAGGUGGCCAUGGCGUGGUCCAGGGCUGCACGUCUGCCUGAGCAAUGGGCUGGGCCUCUCCUGAUCCGAGGGUGGGGUCUGUCUCCACCCCUGGCCCAGGGAGACCUGUCACUUGCUCUGAGUGCUGAGGGGACCUGGGGAAUACUCUACUGGACUCACUUAGGCCUGCCCAGCCCCAUGGUGGCCCUCGGAUGUCCACAGUCACACAGCAACCCUGGCAAGACUGGCCAGAGAACCGCCCAGCUGAGCCCAGCCCGAGCCGCUGACCACGGACUGCCAGCAAAUGAACAGGCUCCAAGCAGGUCAGUGCGGAGGCAGAGAACUCUGAGGUCCUCGGCGGGCGUCCUGACGGCCACCCAGAACCGACUAUUGGAUCUGCUACUUCCGAGGGGUUUGAAGCCUUUCGGACAGUUGAAGUUGCCCUCUGGACUUCCCAGAGAGCCUCGCUCGUCCAAGACAAGCGGGGCCUGGACCCGUGGCGUCCCUCUGAGGGAGCUGCAGAUGGGUCCCCGGGGGGGCUGGUCUCCAGGGCCUUCCUGCACCUUCAGCCCCACCCAACAUCCCUAAAGCCCUCUACAGGAAGGAACAUGGACUCCGGGGGCGAAGCUGGAGCGUGUGUGGCAGGGGAGGCCAGGAUGGCCUGCAGGUAAAGGCUCCCGGAGGGCAAGGGACACAGGGACAGCCCUCGGGCACGGGUGUCUCUGGCUCGGGCGCAGGGCCUGGAGGGCCGGACGGUCCACUUACUCUGUGGUCGAGGUCAGCUCCUCCGACACGUGGCUGGAGUGCAGCAGGCCUUCCCACUUCUGCUCGUCCCCGGGAAGCCAAGCAGAGAGAGGAGGUGAGAGGACUCGCCCACGCACAGGGUCCCCGGGCAGGAGCUCCCUCCCCACGGCUCAGGGGCUCUUCAGGUGGCCGCCGGGGAGAACCUACGGCAACCGUCCCCCGUGUGGCCUGACAGCGGGCCUCAGAGGGGGUCUUGGAGGAAGCGCCCCGGCUCAGAGUCCCCAGAGGGACUCAGUGUGCCACCAGGAGGGCGGAGGGUGUCUGAAGGAUGGGGAGUGACAGCCGGAAACACCCAGUGAAAUAGCUCCCAGGCUGAACAGGUCCCCCAAGUACGUCCACCCAGAGCCUCCAAUGUGACUUUCCUUGAAAACCGUCCUUGUGGACGCGAGUUAAGACCAGGUCACGCUGGACUGCAGUGAGCCUGAGUCCUGCCCGGCUGGGGUCCUCGUAAGGACAGAGGAGGCAGAGCGGGGGAGGCCACGCGUCCACCAAAGCAGAGAGAGUGAGACGGAAGCCUCGGGACAGCACCCGCUCCCCAGAGGCUGGAGGGCCAGGGUCCUCCCUGAGCCCUCUGAGGUCUGGUGGCCCUGCUGACCCCUGACCUCAGACUUCUGGCUCUCUGAUCCACCUGCCCCUCCUCCCCUCUUACAGCUGCUCUGACCCAGCAGCCGGGGGGCUACCCAAGGGCACCGGCCGCUCCUCGGGGCUGGGCGGGUACACAGGCCAUGGAGGGGGGCUGUGGGUGACAGCUGCAGGCGCUCUGGGGGAACCCGGGUGACCACUCAAUGCCACCACCACCACAGGCCCCUGCCCAGACCCCUCGCAGGAUGGGGGAUCGCUUCCUGAGGCGGCGGCCCCCAUGGGCCCACCCGAGAUCUGAGCCUCCCUCCUUCCUGAGCGCGGCCUCCAGAGCCUCUGGGGCUGGUCCCUGUUAAUGAGGAACGGCUGUCCCUGGCCAGCAGCCUGCUCGGGGCCUCAGGCUGAUUGAGUCUCAGAAGAGUUUUCCCGGAGAGGCCAGAGACAUCCUGUUCACUUGUUCACACACCAAACUCGCACUAGGUGCCUACCGGGUGCUGGGCCCGGGCCAAGUAUUGGAGACUUAAAGACGAAUAGUGUAAAGGUAGUGGACUCUGGUGGGGAAGUCGCUGCAGGUCAGUGACCCUGUGGCACAAUCCAGGCCCUGUGGUAGGAGGUGGACGUGGCCCUGGCCUCUGUUUCUUCCAUCCUUGAAAUCCCACGGGCCUUGCAUGGCCCCUCCUGGGACUAGCGAACUAGACGCCUGAGCAAGUCCAGACGUGCAGGGACAGGCCAGGGGGGAUGGCAGGGCAGGCAGGGCGGCUCGAACGAGGCCAGGAGGCCAGCCUCUGAGCAACGGUGCGGCCAGCUCGGAGCCCCCCCCCCCCCGCUUCCUCCAUGCUGGGUGUGGCCCUUCGAACCCCGGUCAGUGCGGAAGGCACCACGAAUACUUGCUUGGGUCAAACAUUCCGCAAACCCAAGAUUGCCUUGGACCCAGCGCAAGCCUGAAAGGGGACACCCGGGACGCUGAGCCUGCGCCAGCCCGGCCGACUCUGACGUAGGUGGGCUCGGAAACCAGGCUCCCCGUGUCCUCGGGAAGCCUUUCCCGGCCGGCUGCCUGCGACCAGGCAUCCAAGAUAGGGACCGCAGGAUGGCCUCCUGGGGCCCACGUCACUGUGCUGGCCACAGACAUCCUCCUUAGGCAGGAAGCGGGCAGAGCAGGCAGGUGACCUUUGCUGAAUGCCAGAGAGGGGCCUUCCAGCCAGGCCAAGCCAGCACCCGGGGUGACGGGGCGGUCAGACGGCUUCAGAAAACAGCGUCUCAGCCAGGUUCUCGCGGACCACAGACGCCACAGGACUGGUGAGUCCAAAAAUCAGAACGCGUGGCCGGACGUCUCCAGGGACACAGAAGAGGCAGCUGCUCCUUCAGGCCCCAGUGGGGUCUCCUCAUCUCGAGUCCCCAGCAGCCCAGCGAGCGCCUGGUGCCUGCGAGGUGCUCAGUACAUUCACCAACAAAACUGUGCCUGCACCCCCCGGGGCCCCGCACCCAGCACCGGGGGAAGCAGCGAGGGCGGGGCAGGCCCGGGGGGUCCCAGUCCUUCUCCCAGUGAAUCAAGAGAAAUGAAUCCCAAAAAAGAGAUGAUGGGGAUGUGGGACGUGCUCCACGGCAAAUGUGCGGAGCCUUUAAUUUGGGGAUCUAUUUCCUCCCGCCGGCCCAGCCUCCUCCAGUAAUAAGCACAUUCAAGGGAUUGAAUUCCGACGAGUUGGCUUUGGAGAGAAAUGAAUGUUCUUUUCAAAAAUCUGGAAAAUUAAACCUCAACACCCUGCA